This 253-nucleotide unclassified non-coding RNA is filed under the name uncultured Holophagae bacterium. Its description in RNAcentral is "contains 16S-23S intergenic spacer region". It matches the Rfam family "Bacterial small subunit ribosomal RNA", at positions 524 to 776 of the family's 1533-position model. The record is from RNAcentral. Lineage: Bacteria; Pseudomonadati; Acidobacteriota; Holophagae.
UACAGAGGGGGCGAGCGUUAUUCGGAAUUAUUGGGCGUAAAGGGCGCGUAGGCGGCUAAGCAAGUGGCGGGUGAAAUCCCUCGGCUCAACCGAGGAACUGCCCGCCAGACUGCAUGGCUUGAGGCCGGGAGAGGUGAGUGGAAUUCCCAGUGUAGCGGUGAAAUGCGUAGAUAUUGGGAGGAACACCAGUGGCGAAGGCGGCUCACUGGACCGGAACUGACGCUGAGGCGCGAAAGCGUGGGGAGCAAACAGG